GACUGCGGAGGAUCAUUAAGAGACGUUGCCCUUCGGGGUAUACCUCCCACCCAUUGUUUAUUAUACCUUUGUUGCUUUGGCAGACCCGGCUUCGGCCCACCGGCUCCGGCUGGUCAGUGUCUGCCAGAGGACCUAAAACUCUGUUUGUUAAUAUUGUCUGAGUACUAUAUAAUAGUUAAAACUUUCAACAACGGAUCUCUUGGUUCUGGCAUCGAUGAAGAACGCAGCGAAGUGCGAUAAGUAAUGUGAAUUGCAGAAUUCAGUGAAUCAUCGAAUCUUUGAACGCACAUUGCGCCCUCUGGUAUUCCGGGGGGCAUGCCUGUUCGAGCGUCAUUACAACCCUCAAGCUUUGCUUGGUAUUGGACAUUGCCAGUUUCUGGCAGGUCUUAAAAUCAGUGGCGGUGCCAUUUGGCUUCAAGCGUAGUAAUUCUUCUCGCUUUGGAGAUCCAGGUGGUUACUUGCCAAUAACCCCCAAUUUUUUCAGGUUGACCUCGGAUCAGGUAGGGAUACCCGCUGAACUUAAGCAUAUCAAUAAGCGGAGGA
This 543-nucleotide ribosomal RNA is filed under the name uncultured Thelebolales. Its description in RNAcentral is "eukaryotic LSU rRNA". The stretch from base 180 to 333 matches the Rfam family "5.8S ribosomal RNA". Lineage: Eukaryota; Fungi; Ascomycota; Leotiomycetes; Thelebolales. The record is from RNAcentral.